CGAACGCUUUGUCUUUAAUUGAUCUGACGAGCUUGCUCUGAAGUGAUUUCCUCUGACAAAGAGUGGCGAACGGGUGAGUAACACGUGGGUAACCUACCUCUUAGCAGGGGAUAACAUUUGGAAACAAGUGCUAAUACCGUAUAAUACCAACAACCGCAUGGUUGUUGAUUGAAAGAUGGUUCUGCUAUCACUAAGAGAUGGACCCGCGGUGCAUUAGCUAGUUGGUAUGGUAACGGCUUACCAAGGCGAUGAUGCAUAGCCGAGUUGAGAGACUGAUCGGCCACAAUGGGACUGAGACACGGCCCAUACUCCUACGGGAGGCAGCAGUAGGGAAUCUUCCACAAUGGGCGCAAGCCUGAUGGAGCAACGCCGCGUGUGUGAUGAAGGGUUUCGGCUCGUAAAACACUGUUAUAAGAGAAGAACGGCACUGAGAGUAACUGUUCAGUGUGUGACGGUAUCUUACCAGAAAGGAACGGCUAAAUACGUGCCAGCAGCCGCGGUAAUACGUAUGUUCCAAGCGUUAUCCGGAUUUAUUGGGCGUAAAGCGAGCGCAGACGGUUAUUUAAGUCUGAAGUGAAAGCCCUCAGCUCAACUGAGGAAUGGCUUUGGAAACUGGAUGACUUGAGUGCAGUAGAGGAAAGUGGAACUCCAUGUGUAGCGGUGAAAUGCGUAGAUAUAUGGAAGAACACCAGUGGCGAAGGCGGCUUUCUGGACUGUAACUGACGUUGAUGCUCGAAAGUGUGGGUAGCAAACAGGAUUAGAUACCCUGGUAGUCCACAC
Molecule: ribosomal RNA, 780 nt
Filed under: uncultured bacterium
Lineage: Bacteria
Description: bacterial SSU rRNA
Rfam family: Bacterial small subunit ribosomal RNA
Source: RNAcentral